UGACUGUGUGGUGUGAGGAAUGCGGCUGU
Molecule: non-coding RNA, 29 nt
Filed under: Rattus norvegicus (Norway rat)
Lineage: Eukaryota; Metazoa; Chordata; Mammalia; Rodentia; Muridae
Source: RNAcentral